This is an RNA transcript of Suricata suricatta (meerkat), 5632 nucleotides long. It is a transcript of the gene named TLE family member 3, transcriptional corepressor, with no coding region annotated. Lineage: Eukaryota; Metazoa; Chordata; Mammalia; Carnivora; Herpestidae. The record is from RefSeq and is a predicted model, not a curated record. The transcript has 25 exons.
UGGAACUGCUCUCGCGGCAGUUCAGACCUCGUGCUCGUCCCCCUCGCCUGUCUGUGUGUGGUAUCCGCAGGUCCUGGGCACUUUUUUGGGUGUGUGUGUGUGUGUGUGUGUGUGUGUGUGUGUGUGCGCGCGCGCGCGCGUGUGUUUGGGGUGUUUGUUUGAGGGGUUUGUCCGGGCGCGGAGAGAAGAGCCUGGCCGAGGGGAAGGAAGGAAGCCGCAGAGCUCCCCGGUCUCGGGCUGCGCUCUCCUGCCUGUGCGCUCCGAGGCGGUGGUGGCGGCGCCGAGCGCUUUUCGCCGGGGACGCGGCGCUCGAGCCGGGAGCAGCGAGGACCCCUUUGCGGAGGCUUCCUGGGCCCGCUGGAGUUAGGAUACCAGGGCAGCUGAUUUGCACCUACUGAGCCUGGAGUUUCCUCCUCGGCCCUGGGAAGGGCUUGCAGCAGCGGCGGCGGCGGCAGUAGCAGACGGAACAGCAGGCUCUCCUCUCCGAGGGGGGGCGUCGAAGCGCCCGCGCCGGGCUCCCGCCCUCACCCUCCGGCGCUCCUGCGGCCCCCAGCCGCCACCUCGGUGCUAGCCUCCUUCCUCUCGCCCCGAGCGCCGCCUCUGCGAUCGGACCUGCGCGCCCCGGAUGCUGGGGCUGCUUCGGCGCGCCCCCCUCGCGGCGCGACUCGCCGAGUGAUCCGGAGGGGGCCCGCAGUCGACCCAGGAGGAGACCCCGACCCCGGGACCCCGCGCCGGAGGCCCGGGAGAGACGACGAUGUCCGCGCUGUCCCCGGCCCUGACACGCUACACGCAGCGGGGGGAAGGCGGCCGGCCGCAGACCGCCGAGCCCUAGGCGCACAAAGCCCGUGUCCGCCGCCCGGCCUCGGCUCCCGCCGACGACUUUGCCGCCUGCUCCGCAGCUCUUUGUCUCCACUUGGGGCGGGCGCCCGACUCUGGGAUUUCGCUGCGAGACCGGGCUGGGGGGGCCGGGGGCGAGCUCUCGGUUUCCCGGCCGCCCCCCGCUCGGGCUUGGCUCCCCCCUCCCCCGCACCUCCCCGGCCCGAGCUCUCGGCGCUUCCACGCUCUCGGAAUCACGACCCCUCCCUGCCAUGUAUCCGCAAGGCAGACAUCCGGCUCCCCAUCAACCCGGGCAGCCGGGAUUUAAAUUCACGGUGGCUGAGUCUUGUGACAGGAUCAAAGACGAAUUCCAGUUCCUGCAAGCUCAGUAUCACAGCCUCAAAGUGGAGUACGACAAGCUGGCGAACGAGAAGACGGAGAUGCAGCGCCAUUACGUGAUGUACUAUGAGAUGUCCUAUGGCUUGAACAUUGAAAUGCACAAGCAGACGGAGAUUGCGAAGAGGUUGAAUACAAUUUUAGCCCAGAUCAUGCCUUUUCUGUCACAAGAGCACCAGCAGCAGGUGGCACAGGCCGUCGAACGUGCCAAGCAGGUCACCAUGACGGAGCUGAACGCCAUCAUCGGGGUACGUGGACUCCCCAAUCUGCCUCUCACCCAACAGCAGCUCCAGGCCCAGCAUCUCUCCCACGCCACGCAUGGCCCCCCGGUCCAGCUGCCGCCCCACCCGUCAGGCCUCCAGCCUCCGGGGAUCCCCCCGGUGACGGGGAGCAGCUCCGGGCUGCUGGCGCUCGGUGCCCUGGGCGGCCAGGCUCACCUGACGGUGAAGGAUGAGAAGAACCACCAUGAGCUGGACCACAGAGAAAGAGAAUCGAGCGCGAAUAACUCGGUGUCACCCUCGGAAAGCCUCCGGGCCAGUGAGAAGCACCGGGGCUCCGCGGACUACGGCAUGGAAACCAAGAAGCGGAAAGCAGAGGAGAAGGAUAGUCUGAGCCGAUACGACAGUGACGGGGACAAGAGUGAUGAUCUGGUGGUGGAUGUUUCCAACGAGGAUCCAGCGACACCCCGGGUCAGCCCGGCGCACUCCCCUCCUGAGAAUGGGCUGGACAAGGCCCGAGGCCUGAAGAAGGACGCCCCCACCAGCCCUGCCUCCGUGGCGUCGUCCAGCAGCACGCCUUCCUCCAAGACCAAAGACCUUGGUCAUAAUGACAAAUCGUCCACUCCCGGGCUCAAGUCCAACACACCUACUCCGAGGAAUGAUGCCCCAACUCCAGGCACCAGCACGACCCCGGGGCUCCGGUCAAUGCCGGGCAAGCCUCCAGGCAUGGACCCGAUAGGUAUAAUGGCCUCCGCCCUGCGCACUCCCAUCUCCAUCACCAGCUCCUACGCGGCACCCUUUGCCAUGAUGAGCCACCAUGAGAUGAACGGCUCGCUCACCAGCCCCAGCGCCUACGCCGGCCUGCACAACAUCCCACCCCAGAUGAGUGCGGCGGCCGCCGCGGCCGCCGCUGCCUAUGGCCGAUCGCCAAUGGUGAGCUUUGGAGCUGUUGGCUUUGACCCUCACCCUCCUAUGCGGGCCACGGGCCUGCCCUCAAGCCUUGCCUCCAUUCCUGGUGGAAAACCAGCCUACUCGUUCCACGUGAGCGCCGAUGGGCAGAUGCAGCCCGUGCCCUUCCCCCACGACGCCCUGGCGGGCCCUGGCAUCCCACGGCACGCCCGGCAGAUCAACACGCUGAGCCACGGGGAGGUGGUGUGUGCUGUGACCAUCAGCAACCCCACGCGGCACGUCUACACAGGCGGCAAGGGCUGUGUGAAGAUCUGGGACAUCAGCCAGCCGGGCAGCAAGAGCCCCAUCUCCCAACUGGACUGCCUGAACAGGGACAACUACAUCCGCUCCUGUAAGCUGCUUCCUGAUGGGCGCACGCUCAUCGUGGGCGGGGAGGCCAGCACGCUCACCAUCUGGGACCUGGCCUCGCCCACGCCCCGCAUCAAGGCCGAGCUGACCUCCUCGGCUCCUGCCUGCUACGCUCUGGCCAUCAGCCCCGAUGCCAAAGUCUGCUUCUCCUGCUGCAGCGAUGGGAACAUUGCCGUGUGGGACUUGCACAACCAGACCCUGGUCAGGCAGUUCCAGGGCCACACAGACGGGGCCAGCUGCAUAGACAUCUCCCACGAUGGCACCAAGCUGUGGACUGGAGGCCUGGACAACACCGUGCGCUCCUGGGACCUGCGGGAGGGCCGCCAGCUGCAGCAGCAUGACUUCACGUCCCAGAUCUUCUCGCUGGGUUACUGCCCCACCGGGGAGUGGCUGGCCGUGGGCAUGGAGAGUAGCAACGUGGAGGUGCUGCAUCACACCAAGCCUGAUAAGUACCAGCUGCACUUGCACGAGAGCUGUGUGCUGUCCCUCAAGUUCGCCUACUGCGGCAAGUGGUUCGUGAGCACCGGCAAGGACAACCUCCUUAAUGCCUGGCGGACCCCGUACGGAGCCAGCAUAUUCCAGAACGAUGUGACCUGGAAGGAAGUUUACAGCGCUGAGCGCAUCAGGACAGAAGGGAAGUGUUCUGAAUAUGGUCAAGAGGACACGGGGAAGACCCUCAACCACCAGACCCCCUCGUACCACAGAUCUCUUGCAUUUAAAACAACAACCACCACCAUGCUGUGGAUCGUUCUACAAGAUGGAUUUAUUAGUUUCAUUCCUGAUUUUGAUGAACGUCUGGUUUGGUCCCUCUGUUUUUCUUGUUAAGCAGUACGGUACUGAAUACCUCAGACAUGGUGCCUGUGGGCAUGUGCAAGUGUUUUUCCAGGACGGCGACUCAAAACUUCCUUGGUUGGAGAGCGUAUUUAAAAAUAUUUAAAAGUACGAGAUUUUAAAAUAUGAUAGAUUAUUCCACGUUGCUCUCCAACAAUGAUACUCCAAUUUAUACACCUGCCAGCAACAUGUAAGACCGUUUCUUCAAUCCACUUCCAGGCCAAGUAUGGUCCUCCUCCCAGCCCCCAGUUUUUCCAUUCUAAUGGGGGAUAAGCAAUAUCUCAGUAUUGCAUGAAUUUGCAUUUUCCUGGUCACUUAUAAGCACGAGCAUCUUCUCAUGGCUAUCGGCAUUACUUCUUCUGAGAACGUUCCUUCCACUUUCUUGGCUUGUUUUUCCACAGGAUUGUUUGUCUAUGUUCUUAUUGAUCUAUAAGUGCAAUUUACAUAUGUAGGCUAUUAUUUCCUUUUCUUGUAUUCAUGUGCGAAAUAUUUUCUCCUAGUUUGUCUCUUGUCUUUUUACUUCAUGUCGUUCUUCAUCAUUUUCAUGACACUUUUAUGUGGCCAGAUUUGUCAAUUGCCAUUGCGACCUGAAUCUUUUAAAGAUAUUUUCUUCCCCCAAGAUUAUAUUUUCUUUUAAUACUUCGACUGUGUCAUUUAUUAUAGGUAGUUGUUUCACCCAUGGAAACUUUUUUGUGGGACACGGUGCAAAGUAAGAAACCUAGUCUUACUUUUUUUUUUUGCCCACGGGCUACUCUGGUUUUCCAACACCAUUUACCGAAUAGUCUACAUCAUCCUUGCUGACACAAUUAGCCAUCUUUAUCAUAUAAUCAAAUACCAUUUGUAUGUGGAUUAAAAACUGGCAUCUCUCAGGCCAGACAGAAGUACUGUUCAUGUUUAAUUGUUUUCAUUGUUUUGAAUAAUACAGCUAUGUGUUUCAAAUUUUAAAAGGCACAGAAGGCUGGUUCAGCAGAGACCUGGUGGCCUUCCACCAAAAUCUGCUCUUCUUCCCUCCUUGGCACUCCCAGCCUCCCUUGCAGCUGUGAUCAUGUGACUGGGCCCAACCAACUGACGGCGAGUUGAGAUCUGUGCCUUUUCCUGAUGUGGUCCUUGAGCACCUCCCCUUGGUGUUCCUCUAGCUCUGUCCCUUCUCCCACAGGUUGGAACAAAGGUGAGAAUACUUCAUGUCUUGCAUUAAACGUGGAAAAGGCAUCAUCGGCUGGGGCCCUGGAACAAUUCUGCUUGUAUAAAAGUCCCACCCUGAAUGAUUAGAUGAUUAGGGAGACACCUUCUAUGAUGACUGAGCCAUGAGAUGAGGGAGUCUACUUUUUACAACAAGUCUGUUUAUUCUUCCUCAUGCAGGUUCUCAGUGGAGUGUUCCUCUCCCAGCUGGAUCUCUAGACCUGAUGUUACUAGCCUCUUGUGUAUGUGCUUCUAGAGAGAGUCUAGACAUUUACAAACAAUAACACACACAAAUGGUAGCCCACUGUAUACAACAGCUCAUCAAAUGUGUACAGAGCACAGACCGUGUGCCAGACUGUUCUACGCUCUAAGGAUACAGUGGUGACCAAAACAUUCAAAACCCCUUGGCUUCAUGGGACUUAGCUUCUAGACGGGGCAAGCUGCCAACCAACGGCAUAAAUGGGUGAAAUACUAAUUGAACUGCACCCCAGGCCACCAUGGGCUAAAUGCUGGGGCAAUGCGGUGAACAAGACAAACAGGUCCAGGUCCCCGUGGGCGAGGCUGUCUGCAGAGGAACAAGAGCUGCCAGGCGCCCCGGCUUUGACGAGAUGCUCUGGGCAACAGACACUCCGCUCUGUGUAGCCUGCUGACAGCCACCUUCUGGGCAGGGUGGUUACCCCCUCCUCUGGGCCCUUGGCACCUUCUUUCACCUCUGAUACAGGCCUGACUGCACCAUGUCACCUGUUAGCUCUCGACCUGCCUGUCUCCUUUGGAAUGAUAAAGGAAUGAAUGCAUAAAGAUUCAAAGACUCUGCCCUCAAGGGGCUGACAGUUUCCCUGGGAAUAUGAAAUAAAAAUAAGUUGACAUGGAGCAGA